Long non-coding RNA from Mus pahari (shrew mouse), 315 nucleotides. RefSeq lists it as uncharacterized. Lineage: Eukaryota; Metazoa; Chordata; Mammalia; Rodentia; Muridae. The transcript has 4 exons. The record is from RefSeq and is a predicted model, not a curated record.
AGUCAUUGAUCGAAAUAUGUAUUUUGGGGACCAAAUAUGUUCCAGAGACAUUGUCCUCAGGAAGAAUUGUGGUUCACGUGUCAUCCUUAACCAGAAGUCUACUUAUCUCUGGAGCAAGAUAAAGUGCUGGCGUAGAAUAAAAAAAUCGCAGCCAACAGAAAGCAAAAACAUCUACCUACAUUGGAAUAAGUUUCCCAGCGACUUGGGGGCCCUUAAGACACCACCUUCUCUCCUGGCAGUGAGGUGGAAAGAAGCAAACUGAAAAAGAGAGAAGGUGAAAACACACUGUGCUGGUGCAUGAAGAAUGAUAAACAG